UGAAAGUGCCAGUCUUGUU
RNAcentral lists this non-coding RNA (19 nucleotides) under Arabidopsis thaliana (thale cress). The record is from RNAcentral. Lineage: Eukaryota; Viridiplantae; Streptophyta; Magnoliopsida; Brassicales; Brassicaceae.